AUUGAACGCUGGCGGCAUGCCUUACACAUGCAAGUCGAACGGCAGCACGGGUGCUUGCACCUGGUGGCGAGUGGCGAACGGGUGAGUAAUACAUCGGAACAUGUCCUGUAGUGGGGGAUAGCCCGGCGAAAGCCGGAUUAAUACCGCAUACGAUCUACGGAUGAAAGCGGGGGACCUUCGGGCCUCGCGCUAUAGGGUUGGCCGAUAGCUGAUUAGCUAGUUGGUGGGGUAAAGGCCUACCAAGGCGACGAUCAGUAGCUGGUCUGAGAGGACGACCAGCCACACUGGGACUGAGACACGGCCCAGAACCCUACGGGAGGCAGCAGGGGGGAAUUUGGGACAAUGGGCGGAAGCCUGAUCCAGCAAUGCCGCGUGUGUGAAGAAGGCCUUCGGGUUGUAAAGCACUUUUGUCCGGAAAGAAAUCCUUGGCUCUAAUACAGUCGGGGGAUGACGGUACCGGAAGAAUAAGCACCGGCUAACUACGUG
RNAcentral lists this ribosomal RNA (486 nucleotides) under uncultured bacterium. RNAcentral's name for it is "partial 16S ribosomal RNA". It matches the Rfam family "Bacterial small subunit ribosomal RNA", at positions 30 to 507 of the family's 1533-position model. The record is from RNAcentral.